AUGCUUCAGAGGAUCAUCUUGGAUUCGUUUCUUACUAUCAAUGUCUGUAACCUGCUUUUGGAGGGGGGAUGCCAGGAUGGUGUCACCCGAAGGCCACAGAAAACUACCAUAGCUCAAGUGGGAAGCUGUGUCUCCUCUGCUCAAGUGCAUCUACUAUUCAGUGACGUUGCCUUUUCAAUGGGAAUUUGUGCCCUCUCCAGCUGUGCUGCUGUGCCCAAACCAUACACAAGCAGGAAGGCAUGGCAAGUCUCAAGGUUGAGGAUGUGGCACCAUGUGGAUAUUAGAAGCUGGAAAGUGGGGAGAAGAAGGCAUUUAGGACAGGCACGGCAUGGAGUUUACUUCGCCAACACUGGUGUCAGCGUAUACCCAGGAACUGCAAAUACUGGUUGGAAACACGUUGUGCUGUCCAGAGGCAUAAUUACAGAAAGCUUGUAGUUGUCUUUAUCACAAAGUUUUAAUUAGCAGGACACAUUAAAUAACCAGCUGAUACAGAUCUUAAUGAAUCAUUUAUAGGCCUACAUCUAGGAUAAUUAUAUGUAGCUGAUCACAUGAAAUCACUUGCAUACGCCUGGGCUUAUAUGAAAUGGAAUAUGCAUCUUCCUCAUGAAAUAAGGGUGAAAGAGAGGGAUGGGAUGAAACUGGGGCACCAGCCUACCUUCCCCAAGCUGUUUGUGCAUGGAGUAUUGCCAACAAAAUAAAUAUAGCUGGCUUCAGGAAGUCUGCCGAGCC
RNAcentral lists this long non-coding RNA (729 nucleotides) under Numida meleagris (helmeted guineafowl). RNAcentral describes it as "lncRNA (ENSNMEG00000011901.1)". Lineage: Eukaryota; Metazoa; Chordata; Aves; Galliformes; Numididae. The record is from RNAcentral.